UACGGAGGGUGCGAGCGUUGUCCGGAAUCACUGGGCGUAAAGGGCGCGUAGGUGGCGCGGCAAGUCAGCGGUGAAAGCCCGAGGCUCAACUUCGGGUCGGCCGUUGAUACUGCUGUGCUUGAGCACUGUAGAGGCAGGUGGAAUUCCGGGUGUAGCGGUGGAAUGCGUAGAGAUCCGGAAGAACACCGGUGGCGAAGGCGGCCUGCUGGGCAGUUGCUGACACUGAGGCGCGACAGCGUGGGGAGCAAACAGG
Molecule: ribosomal RNA, 253 nt
Filed under: uncultured bacterium
Lineage: Bacteria
Description: partial 16S ribosomal RNA
Rfam family: Bacterial small subunit ribosomal RNA
Source: RNAcentral